RNAcentral lists this ribosomal RNA (253 nucleotides) under uncultured bacterium. Its description in RNAcentral is "partial 16S ribosomal RNA". It matches the Rfam family "Bacterial small subunit ribosomal RNA", at positions 524 to 776 of the family's 1533-position model. The record is from RNAcentral.
GACAGAGGCCUCGAGCGUUAGGCGGAAUCACUGGGCUUAAAGCGUGUGUAGGCGGAAGAGUAAGUACCUUGUGAAAUCCCACGGCUCACCCGUGGAACCGCUGGGUAUACUGCUCUUCUUGGGCCACUCAGGGGCGACUGGAACAAGCGGUGGAGCGGUGAAAUGCGUAGAUAUCGCUUGGAACGCCGAAGGUGAAAACAGGUCGCUGGGAGUGCGCCGACGCUGAGACACGAAAGCCAGGGGAGCGAACGGG